Molecule: ribosomal RNA, 510 nt
Filed under: Marixanthomonas sp.
Lineage: Bacteria; Pseudomonadati; Bacteroidota; Flavobacteriia; Flavobacteriales; Flavobacteriaceae
Description: bacterial SSU rRNA
Rfam family: Bacterial small subunit ribosomal RNA
Source: RNAcentral
UGCCGCGUGCAGGAAGACGGCCCUAUGGGUUGUAAACUGCUUUUAUACGGGAAGAAACCCCCCAACGUGUUGGGGGCUGACGGUACCGUAAGAAUAAGGACCGGCUAACUCCGUGCCAGCAGCCGCGGUAAUACGGAGGGUCCGAGCGUUAUCCGGAAUCAUUGGGUUUAAAGGGUCCGUAGGCGGGCAGCUCAGUCAGUGGUGAAAGUUUGCGGCUUAACCGUAAAAUUGCCAUUGAUACUGGUUGUCUUGAAUUGGUGUGAAGUGGUUAGAAUGAGUAGUGUAGCGGUGAAAUGCAUAGAUAUUACUCAGAAUACCGAUUGCGAAGGCAGAUCACUAACACUAUAUUGACGCUGAGGGACGAAAGCGUGGGGAGCGAACAGGAUUAGAUACCCUGGUAGUCCACGCCGUAAACGAUGGUUACUAGCUGUUGGGCCGAUUGGGGCUCAGUGGCCAAGCGAAAGUGAUAAGUAACCCACCUGGGGAGUACGUUCGCAAGAAUGAAACUCA